GCGGAUGUGGUGGAAUUGGUAGACACGCACGUUUGAGGGGCGUGUGACUUCGGUCUUGCGAGUUCAAGUCUCGCCAUCCGCAUCA
Molecule: transfer RNA, 85 nt
Filed under: Synechococcus sp.
Lineage: Bacteria; Bacillati; Cyanobacteriota; Cyanophyceae; Synechococcales; Synechococcaceae
Also listed under: 30 other names
Description: tRNA-Leu
Rfam family: tRNA
About the family: Transfer RNA (tRNA) molecules are approximately 80 nucleotides in length. Their secondary structure includes four short double-helical elements and three loops (D, anti-codon, and T loops).
Source: RNAcentral